This 971-nucleotide unclassified non-coding RNA is filed under the name Caenorhabditis elegans. RNAcentral describes it as "Non-coding transcript of protein-coding gene K06A4.2c". Lineage: Eukaryota; Metazoa; Nematoda; Chromadorea; Rhabditida; Rhabditidae. The record is from RNAcentral.
ACAUUCAACUCAUUUGCAGUUGUCGAGUGUGCGACGACGUCGUUGACGCCUUCUGGAUUUACAACUGAUUCUCGUUUUCUGAGCUGUCGUCUUCGAAGCAGCAAGUAGUGCUGAGUCAGGCGUCGGCAGGCUCAGGCUCCGAUUCGCGAAAGCCUUCGAAAGUCAAUGUGCAUGUAAAGGAAGGUGGAGACGCCAGUCGCCGAAAUACAAUUGACCUCCAAAUCGGGGAAGGACGUUCCAGAAAGAAUACAUUGGUCAAGGUGAACGGUGAAGUUGUCAGUGUGACUCACUCGGCGAGUAACGACGACAUGAGUAACUCGCCGAGGGUUCCUAGAAACCUAUCAGUUCGGACAAAGGAUCAACAAAAUGUAGAGGCAAAUGAUGAUGGUAAUGCUUCGAGAAGAGGGAUUGAUAACACUCAGACUUGGCCGUUUUUCAAUCCAUCAACUCGUUUUCGUCUCCUCAAAAUAAUUUUUGUUUUAAUGUGUCUUGUUGAUAUAAUGCAUUGGGCUUAUCUACUUCGAGACGAUACUAAUGAGAAUCCCAAUUCUUGGAGAUUUUACAAAAAGUUCAAAAGUUUUGAUCUCUAUUACCUUGUGGCUCGAAUGUUCGCUGAUAUUUUCACUUGUGUUCUCGGUUUGGGUGCUGCAAUGUGGACACGGAAACCUUUGUUAACACUUCCUUGCACCACAAUUCAAUUGCUCUUUUUGCUCAUUCGAGCCGCUGUUUGGUCAGUUAGAAGUUACAACAGACUUCUUGAAAAGCUUCAUGCUACCAAUGAAGAUAAGGUCUUCGUAAUCUGUGAAUUUGCACUCCCUGCUAUUUGGGCUCUUUUGUCCUUCUUAAUUGUUCACACAACUCGUCGUCUCCGAUGUUACGAACAAUUACACGGAUAUGCUCGUCCUCCGAUCAUCGUUCUCACCGUCAAAAAUGACGACAACGACGAAAGUGUUCAAAUUGAAAUUGCUUAA